RNAcentral lists this ribosomal RNA (454 nucleotides) under uncultured bacterium. Its description in RNAcentral is "bacterial SSU rRNA". It matches the Rfam family "Bacterial small subunit ribosomal RNA", at positions 28 to 526 of the family's 1533-position model. The record is from RNAcentral.
GAUGAACGCUGGCGGCGUGCCUAAUACAUGCAAGUCGAACGAGAUCUUCGGAUCUAGUGGCGAACGGGUGAGUAACACGUUGGUACCUACCCCGAAGUGGGGAAUAACUGCCCGAAAGGGUGGCUAAUACCGCAUAAUACCGCAAGGUUAAAGCAGUAAUGCGCUUCGGGAGGGGCCUGCGUCCAAUUAGCUAGUUGGUAGGGUAAUUGCCUACCAAGGCGACGAUUGGUAGCUGGAUCGAGAGGUUGACCAGCCACACGUGGACUGAGAUACGGCCACGACUCCUACGGGAGGCAGCAGUAAGGAAUCUUCCACAAUGGACGAAAGUCUGAUGGAGCAACGCCGCGUGCAGGAUGACGGUCUUCGGAUUGUAAACUGCUUUUAUAUGGGAAGAUUAUGACGGUACCAUAUGAAUAAGGACCGGCUAACUACGUGCCAGCAGCCGCGGUAAAAC